RNAcentral lists this ribosomal RNA (446 nucleotides) under uncultured bacterium. RNAcentral describes it as "bacterial SSU rRNA". It matches the Rfam family "Bacterial small subunit ribosomal RNA", at positions 329 to 792 of the family's 1533-position model. The record is from RNAcentral.
CGCCAGACUCCUACGGGAGGCAGCAGUGGGGAAUAUUGCACAAUGGGGGAAACCCUGAUGCAGCGACGCCGCGUGAGUGAAGAAGUAUUUCGGUAUGUAAAGCUCUAUCAGCAGGGAAGAAAAUGACGGUACCUGAUUAAGAAGCCCCGGCUAACUACGUGCCAGCAGCCGCGGUAAUACGUAGGGGGCAAGCGUUAUCCGGAUUUACUGGGUGUAAAGGGAGCGUAGACGGUGAUGCAAGUCAGAAGUGAAAGCCCGGGGCUCAACUCCGGGACUGCUUUUGAAACUGUGUAACUGGAGUGCAGGAGAGGUAAGCGGAAUUCCUGGUGUAGCGGUGAAAUGCGUAGAUAUCAGGAGGAACACCAGUGGCGAAGGCGGCUUACUGGACUGUAACUGACGUUGAGGCUCGAAAGCGUGGGGAGCAAACAGGAUUAGAUACCCCCGUA